CCGAUUUCGAGCCAUUGCACUCUAGCAAAACUCUGUCUCAAAAAAAAAAAAAAAAAACCACCAUGAAGUAAAUUAUGGUCGAAACAUGUUUAGUUCUUAACUGCAGUUAUCUUGUAUUUAAGGUGUAUGUUCAUAACAAGUUAUAUUUCUAUUGUCAUAAAGAAUGUUCUAUUAAAUGCUUACUGGCUCAGAAUCCUAUUACUUUUUGCCAGUUAGAUUAUGGCCGUUUCUCUUUUAGUCUAAAAUAAACUCAGCUGAAAAGUAACAAUAAACACUUUAUGUAUACAGAUUAACAACAAAAAAUGGCAGGUAACCUGCUUGGUGGUAGAUACUGUAAUAAGCCAAACAAGUAACUUUUGUGUAAUACACUGAAGUAGGUGCUUUGAAGAAUUCAUAAAAGUUUAUGACUCUAAUUCAUGUGAGAGAUAAAAUGCAUAUACAUCAGAAGAUUACACAAUGAGUAUAUGGCUAACGACUAAUGAAUGAUAUAGUAAGUGUUAAAAGAGAUAAGAUGGGGCAGAGGUCACUACUGAUUGUAAAAAGUUUCAUGAAUGAAGCGAGACUUUUAUCUGGGUCUAGGAAAAUAAAGUCAUUACAAUCAUUACAUCUUAGUACAAGCAAGCAAUCAAAUAAUAUGUCUCUCAUGUGAACAUUUUAAGCAAAUAACUGGAGAAAGUACUUCAGCAAAAUCAGGGAGCAAAAUAAUGUUGGCUCAAAAUGAGGUCGAAAAGUUGCAGGGCUCGGAUCGUGUUGCUAAAGGCAUAAAUGUGGGAGUCCUUAAGGUGUAGCUAAUAGUUAACGUCCAGAGAAGGUAGUGUAUAUUCCAUAGCCUCAUGCAAAGGAAUUCCAACAACGAAGAGGAACCAGUUAAGGAGACCGAAAAGGUGGGGCCUGUGUGGAAAGGCAUAGCAACGAAUUUAAAACUUCCCCAGUAAUACUCUAAAACUGCCCCACAGCUUUUUUAAUUUUGAAAAUUCAAACCACUCAAUUCAGCUCGCAGAUUUUUGUGAGAAACAACGAGAUAACUGCAGCUCAGAAAAAAUUAUUAACAACUAUCCAGAAAGUUACUGCUUUAUCCCCCACUGUAAACUAUAGCACCACAGCCCGGGAUCCUUGUUCGACUCCUAGCCAAGUGGUUCCCGCUGCGUUUCUGUUGGGUUAUCCCAAACCUGUGAUAGGAUACUAGCGGCCUCCCUGCCUCCGGUCGAAUAAACACUACAACGUCUGACACUCGGUGCUGAAAGGAAAUCGGGCGCGGUGUCUUGCCCACAGCUUGGGGAGCAGCCCCGGGCGCAGUAACUGUCACAGGCGCCGAGAUGCGGUUCCGGCGCUUAGGGCGCCGCUGAGCUCAGAGCCCGGGAGUCAUGGCUGCGGGCGGUGCCGCCCCAGGUAAGUCAGCCCAGGAGCAGGGCCCGGGCCUGGCGGACACUCUCGGAAAAAUUGGGGCGAGAGCAAACAAGAAGAGCGAGAGCAAGAGGCCUAGGCAGCCGGAAGCGGCAGCAAGACUCAAGACGCCAAGGGCGCCGUCUUCCUGGGGCCCGGGCACCGCCUCUCCACGCCCCUCGUCCGGCUGCGGCUGCGACUGCUUCCGAGGUCAUGUUCCCGGGACGCGCGCGUCUUCAGGGUGGAAGCCUGGCGCACGUCCGGAGGUGCCGAGGGCCCAACCAGCCCAAACUCUGGGGGAAAUGACUCCCCUCUGCCCUCGCCCCGCGCUCUACCAAUUCCUUCCGUCUCUGCUUCGAGCGAUGCAAAACGCGCGAGGCGCACGGCAGAGGGCCGAGGCCGCGGUACUCUCCGGGCCAGGCCCGUCCCUCGGCCGCGCCGCGCAGCACAGGACUCCCCGUCCGCUGUCCAGCGCUGGCCGCCUGAGCCGAGGCUGCCGCGGAGCCAGUACAGUCGGGGCCGCGGGCUGGAAGGGCGAGCUUCCUAAGGCGGGGGGAUGCCCGGCGCCCCGGCCGGAGACACCCGCCAUUUCACCCAGUAAGCGGGCCCGGCCUGCGGAGGAGGGCGGCAUGCAGCUCCGCUUUGCCCGGCUCUCCGAGCACGCCACGGCCCCCACCCGGGGCUCCGCGCGCGCCGCGGGCUACGACCUGUACAGUGCCUAUGAUUACACAAUACCACCUAUGGAGAAAGCUGUUGUGAAGACGGACAUUCAGAUAGCGCUCCCUUCUGGGUGUUAUGGAAGAGUGGCUCCACGGUCAGGCUUGGCUGCAAAACACUUUAUUGAUGUAGGAGCUGGUGUCAUAGAUGAAGAUUAUAGAGGAAAUGUUGGUGUUGUACUGUUUAAUUUUGGCAAAGAAAAGUUUGAAGUCAAAAAAGGUGAUCGAAUUGCACAGCUCAUUUGCGAACGGAUUUUUUAUCCAGAAAUAGAAGAAGUUCAAGCCUUGGAUGACACCGAAAGGGGUUCAGGAGGUUUUGGUUCCACUGGAAAGAAUUAAAAUUUAUGCCAAGAACAGAAAAUGAGAAGUCAUACCUUUUUCUUGAAAAAAAAAAAAAAAAAAAAAAAAAAAAAGUUUUUGCUUAAAGUGUUAAUGGUGUUUUGCACUUCUGUAAACUUACUAGCUUUACCUUCUAAAAGUACUGCAUUUUUUAUUUUUUUUAUGAUCAAGGAAAAGAUCAUAAAAAAAAAAACACAAAGUUUUUCUUGGUGUUUGGAUCAAAAAGAAACUUUGUUUUUCUGCAAUUGAUGGUUGUAUGUAAAUCUGCUUUGUGGUGACCUGAUAUAAACAGUGUCUUCUUAAAAUCAAAUGUACAUCAAUUACAGAUUCAAAAAAAAAAAGCCUGUAUUUAACUCAAA
Nomascus leucogenys (northern white-cheeked gibbon) is the source of this 2797-nucleotide RNA transcript. It is a transcript of the gene named deoxyuridine triphosphatase, with no coding region annotated. The transcript has 8 exons. NCBI's taxonomy places the organism in Eukaryota, Metazoa, Chordata, Mammalia, Primates, Hylobatidae. The record is from RefSeq and is a predicted model, not a curated record.